RNAcentral lists this ribosomal RNA (433 nucleotides) under uncultured bacterium. RNAcentral describes it as "partial 16S ribosomal RNA". It matches the Rfam family "Bacterial small subunit ribosomal RNA", at positions 29 to 507 of the family's 1533-position model. The record is from RNAcentral.
AACGAACGCUGGCGGCAUGCCUAACACAUGCAAGUCGAACGAGACCUUCGGGUCUAGUGGCGCACGGGUGCGUAACGCGUGGGAACCUGCCCUUAGGUUCGGAAUAACUCCCCGAAGGGGGUGCUAAUACCGGUUAAUGUCUUCGGACCAAAGAUUUAUCGCCUUUGGAUGGGCCCGCGUUGGAUUAGCUAGUUGGUAGGGUAAAAGCCUACCAAGGCGACGAUCCAUAGCUGGUCUGAGAGGAUGAUCAGCCACACUGGGACUGAGACACGGCCCAGACUCCUACGGGAGGCAGCAGUGGGGAAUAUUAGACACUGGGCGAAAGCCUGAUCCAGCAAUGCCGCGUGAGUGAUGCAGGCCUUAGGGUUGUAAAGCUCUUUUACCCGGGAUGAUAAUGACAGUACCGGGAGAAUAAGCUCCGGCUAACUCCGUG